RNAcentral lists this ribosomal RNA (467 nucleotides) under uncultured bacterium. RNAcentral's name for it is "partial 16S ribosomal RNA". It matches the Rfam family "Bacterial small subunit ribosomal RNA", at positions 29 to 507 of the family's 1533-position model. The record is from RNAcentral.
ACGAACGCUGGCGGCGUGCUUAACACAUGCAAGUCGAACGGAAAGGCCCUGCUUUUGUGGGGUGCUCGAGUGGCGAACGGGUGAGUAACACGUGAGUAACCUGCCCUUGACUUUGGGAUAACUUCAGGAAACUGGGGCUAAUACCGGAUAGGAGCUCCUGCUGCAUGGUGGGGGUUGGAAAGUUUCGGCGGUUGGGGAUGGACUCGCGGCUUAUCAGCUUGUUGGUGGGGUAGUGGCUUACCAAGGCUUUGAGGGGUAGCCGGCCUGAGAGGGUGACCGGCCACAUUGGGACUGAGAUACGGCCCAGACUCCUACGGGAGGCAGCAGUGGGGAAUAUUGCACAAUGGGCGGAAGCCUGAUGCAGCAACGCCGCGUGCGGGAUGACGGCCUUCGGGUUGUAAACCGCUUUCGCCUGUGACGAAGCGUGAGUGACGGUAAUGGGUAAAGAAGCACCGGCUAACUACGUG